GACCUAUACUGCAGCUGACCAGUAGGGGUUUGGUGGUGAUCUGAUGCAUCAAGUACUGAUACCAACUGAAAAAAACACAGCUACAGAAGAAGUCAGCAGGGAGUCUAAAUAUUUCUCUUCAGCUUUUGGAGCAGCUGUGUAAAUCUUGGAAGUUUUCUACAUAAAGGAUAAUGGGAACAAAGCAGAGGACAAAGCAGAGGACUGUAAAACUGAGCUGCAGUGAUACUUUCAGAUGACAUCAUUACCUACAGGAUCUUAGACUGCUGGAGGAUACUUAAAAGCAGAGAAGACAACAUUUUAGUAACAUCACUCAACAUGCAAAGAUGCAAACAUCACCUACCUCUGCUCCUGCGGGGAGUGGAGGGGCCAGUAAGAGCUAUCCCAGCAAUGAAGACAACCAGGAGAAGGACCAGAAAGCAGUGAGGGUGUUGCUGCCUCCCCAUCAUCAAGUCUGUUUUGGGUCUCAGUUAUAAUGGUGAUCUGAAUGAACUCAGAGAUCUCACGAUGUGGAGCGUGGUGCAGGAUUAAGAAGCUGUCACUCAGGAGUGAUUGAGUAAAUCUGUGCUAACAAGUUGAGUUUACUUUGUGCUGCAGCUGCAUGGAUGUAGGAUCUGUUAUAAUGCUGGAGUGGCUGGACUACUUCUCUGAGCUGUUGGCUCUCAGGACUAGUGCAGCUCACUGGACUGGACUUCUGGAUGCUCCUGCACCAUCUAUACCUCUAGUAUGGAGGGAGGGGACAGACACAGCUGGACACACCCACUCCCAUUACCCUCCCUGCUCCCCCCAUUUCUCUCUCUCUCUCCGCUCUGAAAAGGAGUGCUAGUUUUCUCCAAGUCUCCUGCCUCAACCCCCACCUCUGUCUCUCUUCUGUUUUUUCUGUUUCAUUUUUUUCUCAGCUUUUUUUCUGCUGAGGUCUUAGUGAUUCUAUUUUCCAUUUGCAGGAGCGUUUUGACAAUUUUCAUUGUUCUCAUAGUCCUUUGCUGUCCCCCUUCUCCUAUCUCAUUUUCUAAGCUUGUCUCACACUGAGUAUGAUUUCAUGCACUCCAGGGACUUUUGUUUUAUUACUCUAGUCACAUUCAUGUGAAAGUUUGCAAAUCUAGUUCUUCAUAGUCAUGAAUCUAACAGUACUCAGGUCUAUCAUUGUGUGUGCACUAACAAUAUCUACAUGCAUAUUCAUAUUGGUGCAUGACUUUGACUUUCAUUGCAGAGUUUCUCACUUUAAACACUGGAAUGAUUUUGGACUGGUCUAAAUUAUGAAUACUUUGUUGUUUUAUAAACCCUCAUGGCAUCUGAGAUCACAAUGCAACAAACAAAUACAACAAAACUAUUGAACUCCCUAACCUACCCAGGCUGAUGCAAGUCUUGGAACAUUUUCAUCUGCAUCUGAAGUAUCUUUGAACUGUUCCUUCUACCAGUUUUCAUCCCUCCUUUGUAUUAUUCGUAUUUUUUAUAUAUAGUAAUGUUCCUAUUUAGGCAGCCAGUGUUAACAUGUUAAUCUCAACGGGAUUAACGUUCAUUUUCAAUCGCUUCACCUUUUUUUAAAAAUUAUUUAUGGGCAUUUUUGCCUUUAUUUGAUAGGACAACUGAAGGGAGACAGGAAAUGUGUGAAGUACAGAACGGGGGAAGACGUGCAGUAAAUGGUCAAGGCCAGGAGCCAAACCUGCGCCCGCUGCGACGAGGACUAUAGCCACUGUAUCUAGGGUGUGCUUAGACCGCUAGGCCAACGGCGCCCCCAGCUUGCCUUUUUUGUCCCUUUCAAUCCACUAUUAAGAUUAGAUUAGAUUAGAUAAGAUUAGAUUGGAUUAGAUUAGAUUAUAUUAGAGAACUUUAUUGAUCCCCUGUGGGGGAAAUUCAUAUGCCACAAGGGCCUGUUCACGGAAUCAACAAACAAUAAGACAGUACAGUCACAAAAACACAACAAAUAAACAAAUAACACAGUCACACCAUUUGAGGACUAAUUAACAGCUAUGGGUCAGAUUCAUGGCUACAAGUGUUCAUUAGAAAAUCUUCUGUGGAGCACUGCGACAUCACCAGUCGCUCACUGAAGGAGCUUCUCAGUCCAUUAAAAACACUGUGCAGGGGAUUGCCUUCAAAGAUUAGGACAGUUUUCAAUUUAUUCCUAGUUCUCUUCUACAGGGUAACCUCAAGAGAUUCAGGGGUAACAGCCUGGUAUUAAGCCACCACUACCUCUGCCACCAUGAUGGCAAAAUAACGCCACUGUUCUGUGAAAAGUACAUUUAAUUUAAACUAACUCCCAUAUGGCUUAGCUGACAUGACCAAAGAAAUAUGCACUUUGUGCCAAACGGUGUGCUUGAGGUCACCAGCAGUGCCCCAGAACUCCUGAAAAGUGCAAAUUCUGUUACAUUAAAUGGGGAUCAUUGGAUGUCAAUAUUGUAAUCAAUAUUAUCUCUGAAUAACGGCUCAUCAUAUAGACACUGAUUGGAUAUUUUGUACAUGCUCUCCUGCAAAUUUCUUAAUGUGCGAGAGUGUUAUGCUAAAAAAAAUUAACACUGUAUUUCACAGAGCCAUACAUUUUAAAACUAUAUACUGUUUAUGCAGAGUACAUAGACAGACCUUGACUACAUAGAAUUGUGAGGACCUGAUUCACAAAAGGAUUAUCUGGCUUUUGCACCUGCUAAAGGUGUGCUAAUGAGCCAAAAAGACAAUCUAUAAUUCACAAAGCACAUGCAAAUGGUUAAAUGCUCAACAAGCUGCACUGCCUAUUAUUUUGGAGCAAAAUAUGCCCCUUUAUAUUAAAACAAGCCUCAUUUCAAAUGAACCAACACUGGCCCUGGAGUGAAAUAUUUACCAUCUGCUUAGAUCAGUGCAUACGCAAGAGCAUGGCUGUGUUGCACCUGCAAAUAGUGCAAAAAUAAAGGGCUUCCUGAUGGCAAAGUAAAGUGCUUAAAAAAUUCACAGUAGAGCGUACACCUAAACCAGGAUGAGUGCUUGGGUUGGAGUGUCUCAGAAUUAGCUAAAUUACGUGGCAGAUUCGGCCCCAUCUGCAGAUAAUUGCAGCCUAGCUUGCGUGCUGUCUCUUCUGGCAAUUUCUCAUGACAGGGGCCGAGCUGACUGGGAUCCAUUGUUGCUAGUUCAAUUAGUAAUGAUAUGUAACUCAUAUAACCCCACUUCAAAAAACUGAAAUAUCCCUUUAAACUUAGGAGGACACAAUGUUUGGUCCCCAGAUUGAAGGUAAAUCUGUGCAGGAGAAGUGGGUCUCCAGCUUCAGGUCCCUACAAUGUUAUAUAAACAAGAACACAGGGAGUUGAAUUUGAUGGGUAAUUGAAAAAGUCAUAAAUGUUGUCUGUUUCCAAAAGGUUGAGUGAGUGUGAAGUGUAUGGCUGUCAUUAUAUUCCAUGGAAACAUUGUCCCUCAUCAUCCUAUCUAUAAAUAUUCUUUCUGCCAAUGACAAAAAACACAUCACGUGCAUCCCAGACCAGCUGACAGAAACGUGCAAUUUGCAGCCAUGUGUCGCACAUUUUGACAUGACUUUCUGGUGCAUCGCAAACACAUGCUGACAGUGCUUGCACCACAGACUUUCUUUGAAGUGAAAUAUAUCAUUGUUUACUGCACAUGAGUUCCAUUUUUUGCAUCUGUUUGGGUGAAAAUUUGUGUGUAAGUGUGUUUCCUCGAGUCAGUUUUGGUCUUGGUCAGCCAAAACUCUCAGCCAGAACUGGGCCUCAAGGACAAGGAGCGUGUGUGUUUGUGCAAGGCGCACACAUGUCUGCUUUCACGUGCAUGUGUGUACUCCAACAUCCACACCCACCUAUGCAGUUGAUUAUAUCACACAUGUCAUUACACGAGACAGGAAAUGAUGCCAGAGGAGGUGUGUCUCCUAAGGAAGUCCCUCUGCAGAGCUUUUCAGUGGAACCCCGGCUUUGAUCACGCCAGUAUCCAUAAAACACAGAUGAGAAAGAACUGCCCUCUUGUGAAAAUGAAAUAAAAACGUUUGAGAUAUAAACA
Long non-coding RNA from Notolabrus celidotus (New Zealand spotty), 3963 nucleotides. RefSeq lists it as uncharacterized. The transcript is spliced from 2 exons. The record is from RefSeq and is a predicted model, not a curated record. Lineage: Eukaryota; Metazoa; Chordata; Actinopteri; Labriformes; Labridae.